UGAAAGCCUAUAUGUGUCAGCCCUGCAAUCGACUGGCAGCCUGUCUGAGGUGUACUCUGCCUCUUGCCCAAUGUCCGGUGGGAUAGGCUCCAGCACCCACAUGGCACUUAA
Molecule: long non-coding RNA, 111 nt
Organism: Thalassophryne amazonica
Lineage: Eukaryota; Metazoa; Chordata; Actinopteri; Batrachoidiformes; Batrachoididae
Exons: 3
Source: RefSeq, a predicted model, not a curated record